GGAUAGGAGGGAGGAGCUGGCUACAUCUGUCGCCCCAGCGAUCCCAGGGCUCCUUCAGCUGAUCUGGCUUCCCAGAUGUCACCUUCCACCCUCCCCAUUCCAUAUAAAACCCUCUCAAAGCCACACCCUUGAACUAUCAUUUUUCAGUCAAGGUAUACGAAUAACAAUGAUCCCCUGGUAAAACAUCCAGAGAGGAUCUCAAAGUCCACAGACGAUAUGGGGUUGACAGCGUCCAGACACAUCCCAAAUGAAGUGCUACCCGUGGCAGUCCACCUUUCUUU
This is an unclassified non-coding RNA of Dipodomys ordii (Ord's kangaroo rat), 281 nucleotides long. Its record names the gene 7SK. It matches the Rfam family "7SK RNA". Rfam says of the family: 7SK was discovered as an abundant small nuclear RNA in the mid-70s but a possible function has only recently been suggested. Two independent studies have found that 7SK RNA binds the CDK9/cyclin T complex (known as elongation factor P-TEFb). P-TEFb activates transcription by phosphorylating the C-terminal domain of RNA polymerase II. Lineage: Eukaryota; Metazoa; Chordata; Mammalia; Rodentia; Heteromyidae. The record is from Ensembl.